GGGGAGGCCGGAGAACGCGCCGGGGGUGCCAGGGUCCCGCACACUGGAGUGGCGGCGCCUCCCCGUGGUGUCCCCGCUCCUGGGUCCUUUUUGGGACUGGCUCUGGCACUCCCGGGCACUCAGUCCAGUAGAGAAGUCCAGCAGGAGGCUUCCAGGUCGGACUCCUCCGCGGGGUAAAGAGAGGGAAAGGGCCUCACAAACACACCCAGGAGCAUCUGGCGAUGGAGGAUGAGAAGACAAGAGAAUGACGGGGGCAGGGUCAGGGGUCUAAUCUCCUUGCGAGCCACCUGAUCUCCCCGGGCCUCUGUUUUCUCAUCUGUGAAAUGACGGGUUGGACGGCCUUGUCUCUGAGGCCUCAUCCAGUUCCACGUACAGGAAGAUAUAAAUGCAAAUGUGCAAAAAAAGGAAGAAGGAAAGAUGGACCAAGUUCACCUGUUUGCUGAGUUUUAGUUCUCGAAGGCAAUGGAACUGUUGCUAUCCACUUCUGCCUCUUAGUACCUUAAACCUCAGAGAUGCUCACUGGAACACUUUUUACAUGGAUUUGUCUUUGGUUUCAUCAGGUGAGUGUGCUACAAAAAUCUAGAACCUAAGAGCCAAUGCAGCGUCGGUUCUGUGACUAUCCUUGUUAAGUGUUACGGUUUUCUAAUCCUUCACAAAUGUUUUUUUCCCAACACAAAGCACCAUUAUCUUUCCUCACAAUUUUCAACAUAGUUUGAUUCCCAUGAAGAGGUUAUGAUUUCUAAAGAAAACAUGGCUACUAUACUAUCAAUCAGGGUUAAAUCUUUUUUUUUUGAGACGGAGUUUCGCUCUUGUUGCCGAGGCUGGAGUGCGAUGGCGUGAUCUCGGCUCACCGCAACCUCCGUCUCCCGGUUCAGGAAAUUCUCCUGCCUCAGCCUCCCAAGUAGCUGGGAUUACAGGCAUGUGCCACCAUGCCAGGCUAAUUUUGUAUUUUUUAAGUAGAGACAGGAUUUCACCAUGUUGGUCAGGCUGGUCUUGAACUCCUGACCUCAGGUGGAUCCACCCACCUUGGCCUCCCAAAGUGCUGGGAUUAUGGUGUGAGCCACCACACCUGGUCCUAUCAGGGUUAAAUCCAAGUAAUAACUCAAUUUCAAAAAAAUUGCAGAAAAGCCUAUUAAAAGAAAAAAAAAACCAUGAGACUUAUCUCUUGUAAAUUUGUUACAUGAACUAGAUAUUAAACAGCCAAAAAAGGACAGCGAUGAUAGUAUCUGUUAAGAUCCUGGUUCAUUUCACAAUAUGAAAAAGUUGAUGGGUACUUAGUAGCUUUUUUAAAAAAAUUCAUUUUAUUAUAUUAUACUAGAAAAAUGAAAAUAUUAAUACUUUCCAUUCAGAAAAGCUUAAAUGACUCGUCUCUAAUUUUGGUUUAAAGUUUUCUUCAAUUUAUUCAAGGCUCUCAAAAAAAAAAUAGAAAAGCACUGUAAUUUGCACUGCUUGACUGUAAAAUGUUUUAUGUGUUAGGAAUAGAAUAUUCUUUAAUGGGCAGGCAGAGAAUGAAAGCCAAGCCAAAUAACAAAAUCUCAUGGGUUUUGAUCACUUAGAAAAUUACAGUGAAUCAAUAUUACCUAAAAGGAAAUUCAAAAAAUUCCCAAUUGUUGAUAAUACAUGUCUCCUGGCAUACAGGGUCCAUCUUGCAGUAAAAAAUGGGCACAAUGCUGAGUUCAGAACUGCAGAGUAAAUUUAUUGGGUGGUUGUCGGUUAAAAUGACAAAUGAUGAUCUGAAUUCAAUACAUUAAAUUGCUGAUAGAAUUGCAAAUUUCAACUGAAUUUACAUUGAGGCCUAGCAGUGGUAGUUGGCUACAACUGGAACAGUUUAUCACCUCAGGGUAUUUGAGGGCAAGGAAGAUACAGAAAAAAAAAAAAUUAGGGGUAUGCAACACAGUUUAAGUGCUCAGAAAUAAAUUUUACCACAGUGAGAACGAAACCACAAUGACAUGUUACUAACACUGUGCAGACGUCAUGGUUGAAUGCCUGCGUUCUGUUCCUUCCUGGUGGCAGCCGCCUUGGUUCAUUAGUUCUCAUGUUUGCAGCUCCUUCACAUGCCCCGGAGCUUCCCAAGUGUGCCACUCAAAGGAAACAGCACAGUGAGUGGAGGCCAGCAGACCCACCCGGCCCAAAACAGAGCCUUCUCAGUUAUGAGACUUUUCUACAGAAGGGACUUCAAAGUCUAAACAGACCAGAGAGAGUUAAAAAGAUCCUGCUGCUUCUUAGGGAAGUUCAAAGGUACAUUCUGACACCUAAGUGGGAAACAAUUCUGUUUUAGGAAAAGUGCCAACUGCAAUCCGGGUACAAAAUUUCAACAAAAAGAAAAGUAAAACUGAAUGAUCUCCCCCUCAUUCCCUAAUUCAUAGAAAAAUAGUAGGUGUGACUUUUGUUUCAAAGCAAGCUGAAAAAUGGUUAAAUGGACAAUUUACAAAUGGUCUUCAGAAAACCUUAUCAUUACCUUUUCUAGUUGAAAGUCCAUGAAUGACAUACAUAAACGUACACAUCAUAGCCAAAAAACUCAAGAACUAGUGGUUAACAAGAUACUGGAAAAGGUGAAGGAUAAAAACUGGUGAAUGAAGGUAGCUGGGUGGUCUACAGGCUAGAACACGGUCACGAACGGCAGAAUGCAGUAGCCACCUGCGAUCCUAAUCAUUCAAGCUUACUGGUGAUACGUCCCACUUCUAAAGUGGCCGUCCUUCCUGGGCAGCCAUGUCUGGAGGGCGCCACAUCAGGAAUGAGGGCCUGUGCAUUGCUUUGUCCCAAAUUCCAGAUAAGAGCAACAUGUGGGUGGAUCUGUGUCGUAAGACUCAUCCUCAAAGUGGAUUUGGCAUUUCUUCCCCAAAGCUAAUUGAACAAAUACUUGAGAACCAUGAUUUCUAUGAAUUAUUCUGUAUUUCUGGUUUCUUUUCCUGCAAAAAAUUUCAUGUAUACUGAGUAACAACCUUUGAUCGAUUUAUUAAUUAGAAGCUAUUUAUACCAGUAGAAAAAUACCCACAAACAAUUAAAAUUAUAAGACUAUUUUUAAAUUCAUAAAAAUGGUACUGUACUGGGUGUGACUACAUUUCCAGUUUUUGGUGUCUCAUGUGAUACAGAAUCAGGAGGACUUACAUGGCUGGAGGGGAGGGGAGCUGUUUUCCUAAUUUGUUACUAUUUAAAAAUGGUUAAGGGUGGCCACAUCUUGGGGGCUUCUCCUUUAAUGUAAAGUCCCUUUUGGAAUAUCACUUAAAAUCUGGGACAGGUCAAAUCAGCUGCUACUCUACACGACCGUGUCUGCAGUACAGGCGUGGUGAGAAGACCUAUACCUCACUCGGCAGAGUCUCACCUAUGCUGUUCGCAGCAACGCAUCGGCCGCAGGCACAGAGCGCCAUGGCCAGAGCCCACCAGGGCAGCCGCCUCGCACCACAACCAAGGGCCUCACAGCGCGCAAUCAAAGGUCUGGGGCUCAUUCAACGCUGCGGUCGGAGGGUCGGGGCGCCUCGUCUGGGCAAUUUUCUGUUUGGGGUUUUUUGUCUCUUCUUCCUCUUCAGUUUCACUUUCACAGACAUGAACCACCACGCUGGGUGUCGACUCUGUUCCCGCGUGAAGUUCAUAUUUCUCUCCUGCAGAGGCAAACAAAAUAACCAUGACAAAAGCAUCACUUCCAGCAAAAAGAACUCUUUUGUCCCUUGCAACUUUUUGUUCUACUCCUAUUUU
Molecule: long non-coding RNA, 3693 nt
Filed under: Homo sapiens (human)
Lineage: Eukaryota; Metazoa; Chordata; Mammalia; Primates; Hominidae
Description: PREDICTED lncRNA (TCONS_00014649)
Source: RNAcentral